CCUACGGGUGGCAGCAGUGGGGGAUAUUGGACAAUGGGGGAAACCCUGAUCCAGCGACGCCGCGUGAGUGAAGAAGUAUUUCGGUAUGUAAAGCUCUAUCAGCAGGGAAGAAAGAAAUGACGGUACCUGAGUAAGAAGCCCCGGCUAACUACGUGCCAGCAGCCGCGGUAAUACGGAGGGGGCAAGCGUUAUCCGGAAUUACUGGGUGUAAAGGGAGCGUAGACGGUAAUGCAAGUCUGGAGUGAAAGGCGGGGGGCCAACCCCCGGACUGCUCUGGAAACUGUGUAACUGGAGUGCAGGAGAGGCAGGCGGAAUUCCUAGUGUAGCGGUGAAAUGCGUAGAUAUUAGGAGGAACACCAGUGGCGAAGGCGGCCUGCUGGACUGUAACUGACGUUGAGGCUCGAAAGCGUGGGGAGCAAACAGGAUUAGAUACCCGAGUAGUC
This 443-nucleotide ribosomal RNA is filed under the name uncultured bacterium. Its description in RNAcentral is "partial 16S ribosomal RNA". It matches the Rfam family "Bacterial small subunit ribosomal RNA", at positions 338 to 795 of the family's 1533-position model. The record is from RNAcentral.